This 255-nucleotide ribosomal RNA is filed under the name uncultured bacterium. RNAcentral describes it as "partial 16S ribosomal RNA". It matches the Rfam family "Bacterial small subunit ribosomal RNA", at positions 524 to 776 of the family's 1533-position model. The record is from RNAcentral.
UACGUAGGUGGCAAGCGUUGUCCGGAAUUAUUGGGCGUAAAGCGCGCGCAGGCGGCCUCUUAAGUCUGAUGUGAAAGCCCCCCGGCUCAACCGGGGAGGGCCAUUGGAAACUGGGAGGCUUGAGUAUAGGAGAGAAGAGUGGAAUUCCACGUGUAGCGGUGAAAUGCGUAGAGAUGUGGAGGAACACCAGUGGCGAAGGCGACUCUUUGGCCUAUAACUGACGCUGAGGCGCGAAAAGCGUGGGGAGCAAACAGG